GGUGUGCCCAGGUGGGAGCAGGCUGGUGAGAGUACUAAGUGGAUUAGUCAGCAUUGGUCUCAUUGAACAGAUUGAGAAGCUUGCACUGAUUCACUCACUCAUCCAUCCAUUCAGGGGACUCCACCAAGCAUGCUCAGUCCCCCGGCAGAUGGCACACACCUGCAGAUUCCAAGGAUGAGCCCAGAAAUGAUCACGAUGUUCUCACCACCUCUCAGAGACGAGAAUGGAGAGGAGAUGGAACUCAUUUCUACAGGAUGAAAGGAAAUGAUUCAAAUUGUACCAAGUGCAAUUAAAGUUUAAUAUUAGAG
This 308-nucleotide long non-coding RNA is filed under the name Vulpes vulpes (red fox). RNAcentral describes it as "lncRNA (ENSVVUG00000016244.1)". Lineage: Eukaryota; Metazoa; Chordata; Mammalia; Carnivora; Canidae. The record is from RNAcentral.